GGGCCCGUGCGGUACGGCGCCGAGGCCGGGCUGAUCCUGCUCGCCGGGGCCGACCGGUGCGUGGCCGCCCCGCUCGACCCGGGGCAGGCCGA
Molecule: transfer RNA, 92 nt
Filed under: Streptomyces cacaoi
Lineage: Bacteria; Bacillati; Actinomycetota; Actinomycetes; Kitasatosporales; Streptomycetaceae
Description: tRNA-Arg
Source: RNAcentral